Molecule: transfer RNA, 86 nt
Filed under: Plicaturopsis crispa FD-325 SS-3
Lineage: Eukaryota; Fungi; Basidiomycota; Agaricomycetes; Amylocorticiales; Amylocorticiaceae
Rfam family: tRNA
About the family: Transfer RNA (tRNA) molecules are approximately 80 nucleotides in length. Their secondary structure includes four short double-helical elements and three loops (D, anti-codon, and T loops).
Source: Rfam by way of RNAcentral
CUCAGCAUAGCUCAGUUGGAAGAGCGCGGGACUGUAAUGGUUAACUCGUUAUCCCGAUGUCGCUGGUUCGAUCCCGGCUGCUGAGA